Balaenoptera ricei (Rice's whale) is the source of this 310-nucleotide long non-coding RNA. RefSeq lists it as uncharacterized. The transcript is spliced from 3 exons. The record is from RefSeq and is a predicted model, not a curated record. Lineage: Eukaryota; Metazoa; Chordata; Mammalia; Artiodactyla; Balaenopteridae.
AGGGGAAGAUUGAGGAGAUUAGAGCCUGGAAGGAGAGGCCCAGCUCGAGUCCUCAGAUUGCUCGUCUCACACACUUGGUUUCCAUUCCAGAAUUCUCAGAGUCACGCCGGUGUGUCCUUGAGCAGAGCGCCCCGUAGCCUUCACAUCUCCACAUCGGUCCCCAUGUGGCUAUUGUUGAGGCCCACGGAGGAGCCAACGCCACCUCCCUCCCCCUCCCGCUUCCUGGAGGAGCACAGGCAGGUAGAGGGGCUUCUGCCUAAUCGUGAGGCUGUUUGUUCAGUGUUGGGAAAACAGGCCAGCAGCACAGGGC